Molecule: ribosomal RNA, 439 nt
Filed under: uncultured Treponema clone CFS122p
Lineage: Bacteria; Pseudomonadati; Spirochaetota; Spirochaetia; Treponematales; Treponemataceae
Description: bacterial SSU rRNA
Rfam family: Bacterial small subunit ribosomal RNA
Source: RNAcentral
GGCGCAAUUAUCAGCAAUGGUAAUAGACGCGGAUGGUGAUAACGCGUGGGUGACUUACCCUUAGGUUGGGGAUAGCCGCUAGAAAUAGCGGGUAAUACCGAAUAUUUUUGCUGUGCUUUGGCAUAGCAAGGAAAGGAGCUUCGGNUUCGCCUGAGGAUGGGCCCGCGUCCUAUUAGCCUGUUGGUGGGGUAAAGGCCUACCAAAGCUAUGAUAGGUAGCCGGCCUGAGAGGGUGAACGGCCACAUUGGGACUGAGAUACGGCCCAAACUCCUACGGGAGGCAGCAGCUAAGAAUAUUCCGCAAUGGACGAAAGUCUGACGGAGCGACGCCGCGUGGAUGACGAAGGCCGAAAGGUUGUAAAAUCCUUUUGCUACUGAAGAAUAAGCAUGGGAGGUAAUGCCCGUGUGAUGACGUUAGGUAGUGAAUAAGCCCCGGCUAA